Acinonyx jubatus (cheetah) is the source of this 5338-nucleotide long non-coding RNA. RefSeq lists it as uncharacterized. The transcript has 3 exons. The record is from RefSeq and is a predicted model, not a curated record. Lineage: Eukaryota; Metazoa; Chordata; Mammalia; Carnivora; Felidae.
CAGCCUGACAAAUGUCCCUAUUCCAUAAGGACCACAAACAAAACUACAACCUGAGAGAAUGUAAUCAAUCACAAAAGGGCUUUCCUUAAUAUAUAAAGAGCUCCUACAAAUCAAUACUUAUAUAGCACCUGUUAUACAGCACCCACAGAUCUAGGCACCUGAUGUAAAUUGACCCAGCUUCUCAUCACAACCACUCUACGACGCAGGUGUACUGUUAUGUCCCAUUUUACAGGUAACACUGAGACACCAAGAGGCUGACGAGCCUGCCCAAGCUAAGUCACACAAAGUACAUCGAGGAGCUGGGCUCAGGGAAGGCAAUAUGGCUGGGGGCCGGCUGGUCGUUAAGCACAGUGCCAUCCAACCUCAGUGAUUAAAGGCCAACAGGGAUCAUGCGUAGGACAGGUGGUUUUCCUAAUACACACGUCAGGCUGCUGAGCCUCACUCACGACAAGUGAAAAAACAAGGACAUGUCAUUUUCCACCAGGAUGCAAGUCUGAUAACCACCCCCUUGGCAAGGAUGUGGGGAGACCGGCCCUUCUGAAUGCAGCACCGUGUCCAGGCCCACCUCUGGGGACCGCAAUCUGACAACUGUCCCAAACCAGAAGCACGUGUCCCCCCUUACCCAGGGACUCCUGUCCAGGAACCCAUGCUACAGAUACACACGUGGCCGGAAGUGAGGGCAAAGCCAGUCUCUCCCACACUGCUGACAUGUCAGAAUCCCGGAAAAACACCCGUGCCCUCAGCUGGGGGUGGGCAAAGUCAGCCCUGCAAUGUGGGGUGAUCGUACCAAUGUGACCGCAAGGAACACCCACAGACACAACUGGAACAGCAAGUGUGCACACAGAUGCGAGCACAACGCCAUCGUCUCUAACACAGCAAGAGAUGGAUGCCCAGAGGGGUUAAGAUACUUGCCCAAGGACCCACAGCUAGUUUAAGGGACAGAGCCAGGACUGAAGUAGGUCAUCCAGCUUCAGCGUGUGAGCUUAGGGUCAGUAACCUCGCAGGAGUUCAGGGGGAAUUUUCUUGGGAGAAGGGUGUAAUUCUCACACACAUUGGGACACUGUGGAGUGACAAAGACCCUUCCCUGAGAUACCCACAGACCGUGGACGCUGUGGUGGCACAGGGGCUUGUAAGAACGUGUUUCUGUCCCUGGAGAGAUCCAGAAACAACCAGUAUGCGGGGGGGGGGGGGGGGGGUGCCUCCGGGGUAAGAUGGGGGUCAACAGGGAAAGGGGUUACCUUUUUCCAAGUCCGCUUUAUAAUCUUUUUUUUUUUUAGCUAAGUUAUCUAUUACCUAGUUUUAAAAGCCCAUUUUUUCUCGGGUCCCAUGUGUCUCGGUGGAGUCCACGGACUCAGAGGGCCAGCCCACACCCUGGGGGUGAGGGCAGAGGCCAGGCCCCGGGGGGUGGGGGGACCACAUGGGCCUCCGAGCGAGCGCCUCCUCCAAGCAGGGGAGCUGACUCACUGCCAGCAAGAGAGGAAGAAGCGUUGCCCACAAGCAGGUGUGCGGUGCGGCCGGGAUGGGGAAGGAAGGAGGGCGGGGGCUCCAGGAGGGGGAGGACAGGGAAAGGUGUGAGGCGGAGAAGGCAGGGGGGCCGCUCUCCUGGCCCCAGGACACAGUGUCUCUGUGCCCAGUGCCCGGCUUCCAGGUAUUUGCUGUCACACUGGACCCGUGCCCUGCCCGUCACCUCACGUCACGCCACAGCCCCCAAGGCCACGGCCCAGCUCUGAAGGGGGAGGGGGAGAGCAGGGGAGGAGGGAGGAGGCCACCAAAACACAGACAGCCGGGCUGGGAACUUCCCCUCAGCCAGGGGCUGGUCCCGUGGCCUCCGUAAACAGGUUUCAAAAUCAUUAGUCAGCACUUUGGCCCGCAGAUCUGCGGCCUCAGGUUCCCCGUCCCCAAACUGGGUGUCCAGGGUCCUGGACGCUCGCCGAAGCGGGGCCCCACCUCGGGCCCUGGGGACCUGGGGGCGGUGAGGAAACCCGGCUGAGGCCUCCUGAGCCCGCUGGGCCUGACCGCCUCCCAGCCGCUGCUGCUCGGGCCUGGGCUGUCUGGCCCCAACUGCCAGCAAGAAGGAAUCUCCCUCAGCCCCUCCCCUCCCCCAGCCUGACGCAGGAAGAGACUGGCCAAUGCCCUGCCGCUGGAGCAAUGUCAACAAACAACCAGCCAGCCCAGACAGGUGGGCCAGGCCGGCAGGACUGCCCUGCCCCGGGCCUGCCUACGCCGAGGACAGGACCCAUGGUCAGGGCCACAGGGCCAGACAGCCCCUGAGGGCUGUGCAGUAGCUAGCCAGACCUCGAACAGUCAGAGUAACUCCAAUGGGGGUGCUCCCUGGUGCCUGUGGUAUGCAGGCAGCCGGGGGCGGUGGGGCCCUCCCAACGUGCCCUGAGAAGCCCGGGCCCAGAACUGGGCCGAGAAUGGAGAAUCAAGUCUCCAGAGUCCUGGGCAGGCCAGACAGAGAUAUAUACCCACAGGUGCUCAGCUCCUUCUCCCAACAUGAGACACCGGACUAGAACCUCCCGCCACUGACCAGGGUCUCCGGCACUUGGCUGGUCUAGGACCAGGCUGUGCCCAGGCCAGCCUGGGAGCGUAGCGUACCCCCUCCCCACCGAGAAUGCAGCCUGGAGCCUUACCUGGAAGUCAUACAAAGCCACGAUGUUUUCAUGUUUCAAUUCCUAGGACAGAAACCCAAGUUUCUUAUGACCAAGGCAGGCUCACCCAGCACCCUCUUCCCCUAUCACUUCCAACGCCCGCUCACCUUGAGGAUCUUGAUUUCCUUCCCCAGCAGUGUCUGGGACUUGGCCAGAUUCUUCUUGUUGAUGCACUUGACUGCGACCUCCAGGUCGUGCUUCUGAAAACCAAGCGUAAAGGUUCCUCAGGGGCCAGGAAUCCCAGAACCAUAGAAGGCCACCCCCAGGCCAGUAUGAGGUCAGCCACGGCACCCCUGGGGUCACUUUCCAUUCCCUCCGUUGUCCAGGACCAACUGCGUUCGCCCAGGCCCCCCAGAGCUGCUGGAGCAGAGUAAGAGGGCUUCAGGAGUGGGUGGAGAUGGGGAGAUAAGAGGGGUGAUAAUUGCACAAAAGGUCAUGAAAUUGCAUCAGAGGAGAGUGUGAAGAAUAGGCAGGACAGAGGGUGGGGGCACAGGGUUGCCGGAGGGGGCUGGUCCCCGGGGCAUGACCCCAGCCCGCCCUGGGAAAGAGAUUUUCCAGGAAGGACAGUGAAGUUAGGGGCGGGCUGGGGUGGGGGGAGGCUUUGCAUUUGGAACAGGUUACUGAGCCCCCAAGGGGAGGCCCCCCAAGGCACCCAAUUCCAGCUCCUCGGGCCCUGUUGGUCACCUCCAGGUUCCUCCCUUCUCUCAUUGUCGGUGCUCAUACCCUCAUUAUUCAGAUUCCUUAUCUGCAAAUCUGUGCACUCACUACCUUUUGCUGUGACCUCCAGAUCAGAACUCACAAGGUUUCCUGGGCGUACAUUCCCAGCUGAGGGUGAGUGAGCAGGCACCCUGACCUUCCGUCCGGGGCGGCCCUCUCCUACCAAAGGGUCCGAACGAGAACUAUGUGGGCUGCCUGUAGGCAACACUAUAGGAACUGGCUCUCACAGCCACAGUGACCCUCGGGGGUAGGUUUGAUCCCUAUUCCCACUCACCUCAGGGAGGAGAAACUGAGGGCCAGAGAAGUGAAGUGACUCACCCCAUGUCACACAGCUAUGCGGCCGCUCGAGGAUUUAAACCCGCACCCCCUCUGGCUCCUGCACUGCAUCCGUCUCCAAAGCAAGGACUCGGUCCUGUCCAUCUCUGCCCUCCAGUGUUCUGCCCGAGACCCAGCAAACAGGAGGCACUGACACGUGACGCCGUGUGGAUGAACCUGGAAAGCAUCCUGGGAAGUGAGAAGCCAGAUCCCAAAGGCCGCGCCUUGUAGGAUUCCUUUUGCGUGAAAUGUCGGGACUGGGCAAGUCCAGAGACAGAAAGCAGGCUGGUGGCUGGCAGGGGCUGGGGGGGACAGGGAGGGUCUCCCGGGCUGGGGGCAGGUGGGCGGGGCCCUCAGGCAGGUCUGGUGCCAGUGUCCUCCAGGGCCCGGAGGGAAAAGGACUGAGCCACCGGCAGGCGUGGGGACCGCACGCUUCCCCCGGCAUCUCCUCCCACACGGAGGGUUCCAGUACUUACCCUUCAGCAGCUCCCCAAUGAAGCCCGGACUGGUCCCGCAGAAGGCCUUAGCGGAGGGCCUGGAGGGGUGACUCAGCCUGACUCGGACUUGAGCCGCCCUGCUGAGGGAGGACAGACAGUCACGCGCCUGGCAGGACAUCUCACAGGUAUGCAGAAACCCGGCCGGCCUGAGUCACCACAGGGCUUGGACAGGGACAGGCCAGGGGCUGGGGCUGCAUCAGAGUCCCCCCCCACCCAGCCCUGGGCCCCAGCCCCAGAAUUCUCCCAACCUGGCCUCGCUGCCUCACCUGCCGUCCAGGUGUUUCUCCGGGCCCACGCUGAUGCCCCCUCCCGCCUCCCCUCCCCACCUGCUUCCUGCCCCCCGCCCCGCCAGACUCCAGGAGCACCCCAGGGCCCUCCACACCCUCGCUGCCUUCGCACCCCGCUCUGUGCUGGUGGGCACCGAGGCAGGUGGGGGUUCCUGUGAGUUGUUUAGCCUCAAGUGGGUUGCUGAAUUCAUGGAUUUUCAUAGUAUAAACAGAGUAACUUCAGGCUGAGGAGUACCACAAACCAAGAUCCCUCCAGGCAGUACAUCUGAGGUCCGGUUAGACUUUUUUGAGAAGGACAACUUACAUAACCGUGUGGAGAUGGGUCUAUUUGUCGGACGCUGGCAGGCUCAAACGCCAGAAGGUCAAAGGUCACAUGCUGCACAGCCCAUUCCGUGGCCUGUGUGGGAUGGGUAAGGGCAGAGACAGGCAGGUUGGUGGCUGCCGGGGCCCGGAGCAGGAGGCCAGUGACCAGUGACUGCUCACGGGCCCAGCGCUUUAUUUUGGGGUGGGGAGAAUGUUCUGGAACCAGAGAGACGUGGCGGGUGCACAACGCUGGACGUGCUAAAUGCCACCGAGCUGCUCCCGGGUUCAGUGAACCAGUGGUCUUGUACCAUGGAACCACCCCCCCAAAAAACCCAGACGCGUCCUGAGCGAGGGUCUGGCCUGGGGGAGGUGCCCUGAGGGGCAGGCUCUGCUCUGAGCGGUGGUCCUGCCACCCUCCGCAUUUCACAGGUGACAAAGCCGAGGUCCAACUGGCCCAGGGUCUCCCACUAGCACGUGUGAGCCUGGAUGCGAGUCCGGCGUCCGUGUGCCACGGGGCUGGUGUGACCCAGCACCGAUGUCAGAGGCCCCAGAUUCUGUUUUUAAAGCU